RNAcentral lists this small nuclear RNA (309 nucleotides) under Callithrix jacchus (white-tufted-ear marmoset). Its description in RNAcentral is "7SK RNA". It matches the Rfam family "7SK RNA". Rfam says of the family: 7SK was discovered as an abundant small nuclear RNA in the mid-70s but a possible function has only recently been suggested. Two independent studies have found that 7SK RNA binds the CDK9/cyclin T complex (known as elongation factor P-TEFb). P-TEFb activates transcription by phosphorylating the C-terminal domain of RNA polymerase II. The record is from Rfam by way of RNAcentral. Lineage: Eukaryota; Metazoa; Chordata; Mammalia; Primates; Cebidae.
AUAUGUGAGGGUGAUGUGGCUGCAACAUCGGCCACCCCACUGAUCAUCAGGGUUGAUUCAGCUGAUCUGGCUGGCUAGGCAGGUGUCCCUUUGCUCCUUUUCUGUUCCAUGUGUGUCUCUGCAUGCUUGGUCAAAAUGGGUGACAAACCCUGAUAGAGGAGGAUGAGUUAUUGGUCUGGGUUAUAUAAGUAGCUGCACUCCCCUGCUCGAACCUCCAAACAACCUCUCAAGAAGACAUACAAAUAGUCAACAAACAUGAAAAAUCAUCAUCAUGGAAAUGCAAAUCAAAACCACAAUGAGAUAUCAUUU